Long non-coding RNA from Diospyros lotus (date-plum), 287 nucleotides. RefSeq lists it as uncharacterized. The transcript is spliced from 3 exons. NCBI's taxonomy places the organism in Eukaryota, Viridiplantae, Streptophyta, Magnoliopsida, Ericales, Ebenaceae. The record is from RefSeq and is a predicted model, not a curated record.
GGGGUAAGUUGCUUAUAAAGGAGGGGAAACUCUGCUGUAAAGAAGGGAAGGAAACCCUGCCCGAGUAGGAGCCAAAAGCAAGCCGUUGGAAGGCACGAGCCCCUUGAAAUCCGUGCAAAACAGUAACCAAAACUGCAAGGUUUGGAUACAAAAAGGUCUCGGUUUUUAUAGAACAGUCCACUUGGAGCGACGUUUGGCCGUGAAUUUGUGCAACCAAGAAGUGGGAAGCUUCGAUCUGUCAGGCUCGGGCUCAAAGGGAGAAGGCCCAGAGGCGGCGCGAGUGUAGU